Non-coding RNA from Pelobates cultripes (western spadefoot toad), 227 nucleotides. NCBI's taxonomy places the organism in Eukaryota, Metazoa, Chordata, Amphibia, Anura, Pelobatidae. The record is from the annotation of a GenBank genome assembly.
CUAUUUUUUAAUCUUUAUUUUCUGCCCAGAUCUAUAUUCAGGGCGCCGCCAUCUUUAUGUGGGUACACGUCAUCUGCCCACACUAGAUAGAGCUGUGAGAUUUCCAGCACAUGCCCAGUUAAACACUUGGGCAUGCGAACAGGAAUUUCAUCUAUUCAUUCAUUCGUCAGAAAGACGAAUGAAUAAAUAGAAAUUUCAGAUGAACAAACACUGAAUAUCAGUGUUUG